GACGAACGCUGGCGGCGUGCUUAACACAUGCAAGUCGAACGGAAAGGCCCGGCUUUUGUGGGGUGCUCGAGUGGCGAACGGGUGAGUAACACGUGAGUAACCUGCCCUUGACUUUGGGAUAACUUCAGGAAACUGGGGCUAAUACCGGAUAGGAGCUCCUGCUGCAUGGUGGGGGUUGGAAAGUUUCGGCGGUUGGGGAUGGACUCGCGGCUUAUCAGCUUGUUGGUGGGGUAGUGGCUUACCAAGGCCUUGACGGGUAGCCGGCCUGAGAGGGUGACCGGCCACAUUGGGACUGAGAUACGGCACGGACUCCUACGGGAGGCAGCAGUGGGGAAUAGUGCACAAUGGGCUGAAGCAAGACGCAGCAACGCCGCGUGCGGGAUGGCGGCCUGCGGGUUGUAAACCGCUUUCGCCUGUGACGAAGCGUGAGUGACGGUAAUGGGUAAAGAAGCACCGGCUAACUACGUG
RNAcentral lists this ribosomal RNA (468 nucleotides) under uncultured bacterium. RNAcentral's name for it is "partial 16S ribosomal RNA". It matches the Rfam family "Bacterial small subunit ribosomal RNA", at positions 28 to 507 of the family's 1533-position model. The record is from RNAcentral.